Molecule: long non-coding RNA, 379 nt
Filed under: Ananas comosus (pineapple)
Lineage: Eukaryota; Viridiplantae; Streptophyta; Magnoliopsida; Poales; Bromeliaceae
Description: long non-coding RNA (ACOM_LNC015226)
Source: RNAcentral
CUAUUUAUAGUAAAUCAAAUCCUAACUCUAAUGCCAAUAUUUUAGAAAAUUUCUAAAACAAAUAAAUUUAAUUCUAACUUAAAACUUCCAAAUCCAUAUCUGUCAUUCCCUGGGCCUAAUUUGGAAAAAGUAUUUCUCCAAAAGGGCUCUAAAUUUUUCUCAAAAAAAAAAAUAAAAAGACUAGAGUAUACGAAAAACAUACCAUUGUGUGACUAGACCAGCCAUAUGUACAAAAAAUUCUCCAACCACACCGGUAGAGUCUCCUCUCUAAAUAUACAACGUCAAGAUAUAAAGCGACCUGAAAAUAAUAUCCAACACAUUCACAUAGACAAAAUAUCUACAAUAAUUUAAUCUACAACUUACACUUUAUUCCCCACAA